GCUUGCCGUAGCAGUGCAGUUUGCUUCAGAAACCCUCCAACUUCCCCAGCUCCACCUGUAUAGAUCUGCUACAAGUGGCAUUUUGCUUUUGAUCCAUCCUGUUUUUUCAUCAAUUUCAAAGAGGCCUUUGGGGUCCUGGUCAACCCCGGGUCCCUCCAGCAUGUAUAUCACCUCCCCGGUGAAAACCUUGUCUGAUUUGAUCUGUGAGAGUGGACAUGGAAGGUGUUACAGCCGUAUGAUCUAUGUUGAGGAACUAAUGGUGGGCUGUGUGUUUACCUGGACCAGAUCUUCAGGGAGCUGUUUGCUGUUUUCUGACACUCUGAUUGGUGGAAUGAUCCAGUCUCUCUUGACCCUGACCUGUGGACCUGCACUCCUGUGUCUCCAGGGGUACAGCGCAGCUGGCUUCAGAUCGCUCUGUGUUACCUGACUGCUGCUGCUGACCUGCAACAAAAACACAUGAAGCACUUAUUUACAAUCUGACAUGAACACAACCCACCGCAGUCUUUCUUCAUCUGUAUAAAUUCUGUGCCGCUAAUGUCAGUAAAUUGCAAAAAUAAUGGCCUUGCUGACUGAUGUCAUGAAAAGCAAUCUUUCUCCAUUGAGGACUAAAAAGUACCUCUGUAUUCUGAAUUAAAUAUUUUACAAGCAUUUUAUACAGUUAAACAUUCAUUUACACAUUAAUCAUUACAAACUAGGCAUUUUAAUUUAAUUUGAUUCAGCAUUCCCUUGUGUAAAGAAGUGCUUAAUUGCAUUGAAUGUGCACUUCUGAUGUACUUUAGACAUAGUAUAGAGAAUAUUUCUACAAAAAUGUACUUGAAAAUAAUAUAAUAUUAAUAAAAUAAAAGGCACUUGCACUUAAGAAGUAGGCCUGCAUUGGAAUAUA
Molecule: long non-coding RNA, 883 nt
Organism: Carassius gibelio (silver crucian carp)
Lineage: Eukaryota; Metazoa; Chordata; Actinopteri; Cypriniformes; Cyprinidae
Exons: 3
Source: RefSeq, a predicted model, not a curated record